GCGCGAAAACUAUACAAUGCUGGCAACAGCGAUAAGGGAACCUCGAGUGCCAGGUUACAAAUCUGGCUGUCGUGAUGCCUAAAAAGCAUUUCAUAGCAAGGGCCGGGCAAGACCGGUGCCAGCCGCCGCGGUAACACCGGCGGCUCGAGUGGUAACCGUUAUUAUUGGGUCUAAAGGGUCUGUAGCCGGCCGGAUAAGUCUCUUGAGAAAUCUGGCAGCUUAACUGUCAGGCUUUCAGGAGAUACUGUCUGGCUCGAGGCCGGGAGAGGUGAGAGGUACUUCAGGGGUAGGGGUGAAAUCUUGUAAUCCUUGAAGGACCACCAGUGGCGAAGGCGUCUCACCAGAACGGACCUGACGGCAAGGGACGAAAGCUAGGGGCACGAACC
This 386-nucleotide ribosomal RNA is filed under the name uncultured prokaryote. RNAcentral describes it as "bacterial SSU rRNA". It matches the Rfam family "Archaeal small subunit ribosomal RNA", at positions 339 to 725 of the family's 1478-position model. The record is from RNAcentral.